Molecule: long non-coding RNA, 555 nt
Organism: Folsomia candida
Lineage: Eukaryota; Metazoa; Arthropoda; Collembola; Entomobryomorpha; Isotomidae
Exons: 2
Source: RefSeq, a predicted model, not a curated record
GGAAUCUGCAGCCUAUUUGAUCUCCCUCGCGUCCACUUUGGCUUUCAUAACAAUCUCAACUCUACACUAGAGCAGGCCUCAUUUGAUCCUCAUUCUACACGCAACAGGGAUUUUUAAUUACAAAAUGGAGGAAUUCAUGUCGAAAGGUCUUCAAGAAAUUGAGCGGAGCAUGGCCCGAGACGGGGGUGGGAUUGACUUCAAGUUGGUUUUGUGGUACGUUGCUGCCAUUGCUUUUGUGGGAUUUCUGCUGAAAUCCUUGUCCGACGGUGGUCACGGGGGUGGUUGGGGACGAAGGAGGCGAAGCGGUCUCCAUCCCGAAAAGAUGGACCGUGCCAUGGAACAAGUUUUUCGACAGGGUGGCAAUCCUCAAUACCAAAUUUAAAAAUGGAAGUAUAAUUGUUGACUAUUAAGUAAUUGGUUUAUUUUUUCGAUUUGUUAUAUUUAUAUUUUGUUGUUACGUCUUGUUCUUGCUGGUACAACGUUGCUUAUCGUGUAAUAUUUAAUAUCGAAUAACGCAAAAUAAAAUACAGUAUUAUUUUUUUGAUUAAAUUUAAA